RNAcentral lists this ribosomal RNA (253 nucleotides) under uncultured bacterium. RNAcentral describes it as "partial 16S ribosomal RNA". It matches the Rfam family "Bacterial small subunit ribosomal RNA", at positions 524 to 776 of the family's 1533-position model. The record is from RNAcentral.
GACGAACCGGACAAACGUUAUUCGGAAUUACUGGGCUUAAAGCGUGCGAAGGCGGCGCGGAGGGUGAGGUGUGAAAUCCCUCGGCUCAACCGGGGAACUGCGCUUCAAACCGCCGUGCUCGAGGGAGAUAGAGGUGAGCGGAACUGAUGGUGGAGCGGUGAAAUGCGUUGAUAUCAUCAGGAACACCAGUGGCGAAAGCGGCUCACUGGGUCUCUUCUGACGCUGAGGCACGAAAGCCAGUGGAGCGAACGGG